Long non-coding RNA from Ziziphus jujuba (common jujube), 1119 nucleotides. RefSeq lists it as uncharacterized. The transcript is spliced from 2 exons. The record is from RefSeq and is a predicted model, not a curated record. Lineage: Eukaryota; Viridiplantae; Streptophyta; Magnoliopsida; Rosales; Rhamnaceae.
UUGUAAUCUAUACAUUGAGCAUGUAUUCUAGUGAUUGUAUUAUACAUUGAGUAGUUGCAUUGUUAGUUAAUUCAUUUUUGGGAAAUUUCUUAUGUGUGCGAUUUUUUGUUAGAUAAUGGUGUGUAGUAAUCACAUGAACUUCCAAGAUAACGUGAACCAAGUAGUUACCCAUGAGCUAAUUCAUCCAUUUGAUGAUAGCCAUGCUAAGAACUUGGAUUGGGCUAAUUGCGCUCAUCAUGCUUGUAGUGAGGUGCGUGUGGGUAGUGAAUUGGAGAGAAGAAUGCAUGACGGUGAUGAGAGUUUGUGAACUCUUACUAGCAGCCAAGGAUGGAAUGGAAGUGUGGCUCAUGAACCUUGCUGGCUACUAAGAAAAUUAACUCUCUAAUUCACUGGGCUAAGCAAUCUAGUCAUAAUUUUGAUUAAGGCCCUAACCCUUUUGUUCAAUUAUGCAUAUAUUUUCAUCUUAAAGCAAUCUUAAAUUUGAAACGUUUGAUGGCACUGAUAGCCAAUUAUAUGUAUAGUAAUUGGAAAGUAAGAUCAAGUCGAGAUAGGAUUAAACUAAUUGCCCACCAUAUAAAUUAAUACUUGGCUUGUUUUUUGGGAGAGCCACAUCUUCACUGCUAAAGAGAAUUUCCUCUGUUUAUAAUAUGUUUAUUUAGUUAGUGAGGUGCGCAUGGGUGUGACAUUAGAUUUUUAUUUUUUGUUAUUGUUUUCCUGGAUAUUGCAUUUGAUAGUGUCUCUUAAAUUUAUUUGCUUUUUAUCGUUUAUGAUGUGUGCAUAACAGAUUCUACAGGUCACCUGAGUGGUGAUUGUCACUACAAACGUGAAUUGCUUCGAGGUCAUGGGCAAUAGCUAUUCAAGAAAUUUGCUCCUUAAGUGAACCAGGGAUGGACAAAUAGGGAGGAGGUUAUCCAAAUUCAAGUAGGUCUCCCUCAAAUAAAUUCAUUAACUUGGAAUGAUCAUUUGUCCAAUAGACUGGUUAACCUGUGGGCUAGGAAGUUUAUUUCUCUUAAUUGUGAUUUAUCUUUUAACUUUUUAAAUGUUUCUAGCCUCCCUAAUAACAUUUGCUCAUAUGAUUUUGUUGUUGCUUUAUAUUUAUCUAUGUAAUUCCCUUUUGUA